RNAcentral lists this ribosomal RNA (713 nucleotides) under Streptomyces cirratus. RNAcentral describes it as "bacterial SSU rRNA". It matches the Rfam family "Bacterial small subunit ribosomal RNA", at positions 56 to 788 of the family's 1533-position model. The record is from RNAcentral. Lineage: Bacteria; Bacillati; Actinomycetota; Actinomycetes; Kitasatosporales; Streptomycetaceae.
UGCAGUCGACGAUGAAGCCCUUCGGGGUGGAUUAGUGGCGAACGGGUGAGUAACACGUGGGCAAUCUGCCCUUCACUCUGGGACAAGCCCUGGAAACGGGGUCUAAUACCGGAUAACACUCCUGCCUGCAUGGGCGGGGGUUAAAAGCUCCGGCGGUGAAGGAUGAGCCCGCGGCCUAUCAGCUUGUUGGUGGGGUAAUGGCCCACCAAGGCGACGACGGGUAGCCGGCCUGAGAGGGCGACCGGCCACACUGGGACUGAGACACGGCCCAGACUCCUACGGGAGGCAGCAGUGGGGAAUAUUGCACAAUGGGCGAAAGCCUGAUGCAGCGACGCCGCGUGAGGGAUGACGGCCUUCGGGUUGUAAACCUCUUUCAGCAGGGAAGAAGCGAAAGUGACGGUACCUGCAGAAGAAGCGCCGGCUAACUACGUGCCAGCAGCCGCGGUAAUACGUAGGGCGCAAGCGUUGUCCGGAAUUAUUGGGCGUAAAGAGCUCGUAGGCGGCUUGUCACGUCGGAUGUGAAAGCCCGAGGCUUAACCUCGGGUCUGCAUUCGAUACGGGCUAGCUAGAGUGUGGUAGGGGAGAUCGGAAUUCCUGGUGUAGCGGUGAAAUGCGCAGAUAUCAGGAGGAACACCGGUGGCGAAGGCGGAUCUCUGGGCCAUUACUGACGCUGAGGAGCGAAAGCGUGGGGAGCGAACAGGAUUAGAUACCCU